Sciurus carolinensis (gray squirrel) is the source of this 1807-nucleotide RNA transcript. It is a transcript of the gene named spexin hormone, with no coding region annotated. NCBI's taxonomy places the organism in Eukaryota, Metazoa, Chordata, Mammalia, Rodentia, Sciuridae. The transcript is spliced from 7 exons. The record is from RefSeq and is a predicted model, not a curated record.
ACUGACAAGUUGUCCCUGUGGACUCCCCAACUCUAUGCAGAUGGGGAGGUGUCUUUGACAGUAAGGCUUUAAAAGCCCUAAAUUCAAAACAAGAUUAGAAAACUCACAAGUAAAGUUAUAGUUAUUUCAGGGUUCUGAAAGAAGCUAAACAUGAAGGGAGCCAAAAGUUUGGCAGCAGCAACCUUGGCUCUUCUCCUGGUCUUUUCUGUCCUGGAAAACUCCAGCAGCGCUCCGCAGAGACUGUUUGAGAGAAGAAACUGGACACCUCAAGCUAUGCUCUACCUGAAAGGGGCACAGGGGCGACGCUUCAUCUCGGACCAGAGCCGGAGGAAGGACGUCUCCGACCGGCUGCCUCCAGAAAGACGAAGCCCAAAUCCGCAACUACUAACUCUUCCAGAAGCAGCAGCCCUGUUACUGGCUUUGUUGCAGAAACCACAAGAAGUUGGGUGACCCUAAGCCUUACUAUCAUGGUACCUGUGUUCAGGGUCUCAACAAGAGCCUAAAUAAACAAGAUGGAGAAGAAAACUUUGAUCAAAGCAGAUUCCUGGGAGAUGGUCUGCUAAACUGGUGAAAAUAUACCAGAGUACUUCAAGCACAGAUCUGUUCUUGUUGAAACAUGAACCAUGUGAAUAAAGCCCCUGAACCCUUUCACUGUGAUCUUAGAAACAUGCAACACUAGUUUUAUUUUUCAGAAGCAAAAGAAAUUAGAGUUCUAAGCUGAGCCCAUCACUGCCUUCUCCUGCUGCUUCAGGUCCUGUUCAGAUUACUUGGUGUCUUACUCUUCAAUUCUUUUUAGAGCAUUUCUAAUAAGACUGAAAACUCUUUCGUUACAGCCAGAACCUGGCUUGAUCUUGGUUGUUGGUUUUUUCAUCCCAUUACCCACUUGGAUUCUGAUGUCACUCAGAAUCCCAUUUCCCUUUUUUCUUAUUCCUAAGGGUCAGGCCUGGAAGAAUGGGAAAAAGGAGAGUCUGACUCUAGUUUCUCCAGGAGAUUUAAGUUGUUAAGAAAGGAAGUGGGAAUGGGCUGACUGGGAAGAAGCCCUGUAAGAAUACUUGGGUAUGGUUGCUGAGAUGGGGAACAGGCAGUUCGGCUGGAGCCAGUGAAAAGUUUGCUGAAGCCCCAUACCUAGGAGUCCCCUGUGUGCCCUGAGGGGAUUUCCCUGAAAUCAUUUUAGAAACUUAGAUCUAAAAAAUUACUGGGACAUAAGCAGAUGGAGACUCUGCUUGUGUAUAUAUCAUACAAAGGGAGCCAGCCAGUUUGCUAGAGGUAACCCAUUUUCCAUACCUAAAGAGUCUCAGCAAAGUCUAAUCCUCUGCUUACUCUAACUGCCUAGAACUCUAGGCUUUAUUUGACUUUAAAGCAUUACAUUAAGUACCCUGAUAACAUAGUGCAUGUAAUAUUCCUAGUUUACUCCUCUUCAAAGUCAACUUAGGUUCAGUAUCACCUAAACACAAAUACAGUCACAUUCCUACAGCACGCAUAAUAAUUUAUUUGGAAUUACCACACGACCAUCAUGUUUUUUUACCUAAUCAAUUCAGAGUUGCUACUGAUAAAUGUUAUAAGUGGAAGGUAUUGUUAACUCUUAUUAUUGUCAGUAUUUAGCCAUUAUUUAGUGGCCAAAGAAUAUCUUUCUGUGAAUGUCUCUAACUUGAAAUUGUAAUUUCACUCUGUUAAGUAAUCAAAAUCAUGCUUAUAAGAUUUGUCUGGAUCUUGUUUCAUAAUUAAAUAAUGAAACUAUAUUCAAGUAAAUGUAACACUGAUCUCUGCCAAAAAUUAAUAUACAUGCAUUAAAAACUUCUGUGUGGCA